This is a non-coding RNA of Ictidomys tridecemlineatus (thirteen-lined ground squirrel), 3577 nucleotides long. Lineage: Eukaryota; Metazoa; Chordata; Mammalia; Rodentia; Sciuridae. The record is from RefSeq and is a predicted model, not a curated record.
UGGGGGAGAGGUUUUCUUCUGUGUUAGGAGGAAGCAGAGAAGCAGCAGCUCUGCCUGUGCAUCUCUCUGCUCCUUUCUUUGAAUGCAGCUCUGUUGAAAUGCAAUGCUCAGGGCUGCUGCAGCCAGUUCAUGACUGUGACCGAGGAGAAAAGAAAAUCAGAGAUGCCAGCCCUGUGUCCUACCAUCACCGAGCCUCCUUAGCCUCCCUGGAACUGUCUUUAUCUGGAUUCGUUGUUAUGAACACCUGCUGUCUGGACCACCUUUGCCCGGUGACUUCUCUGCACCACUCCAUCCACAGCCUUCCUUCACUCUUCCGCACUGUGCCAUAAUCCUGCUGCCUUAACAGCACCGUGUGCGUCUUCUGUUACAGCGUUUAUCACACCUUAUUGAAUGUGUUGCUUACUUGCCCCCACAACCCCAUGAUGAAACAGAGAUUAUGAAUUUUCAUGGAAUUGAAAGAUGUGCUGCUGUGUCAGAGGAGGCUAAAGCAAGAAACGGGAGCUUUCUGAGAUAUAGUCAGAUUCUGAUUGCGUCGUUGUUCAGUCUUCACAGAAUUCCCAUUCAGAAAGUGUGCAGGUUGAAUUUAAUUGAACCUAAUUCAUGGAACGGAAAAUAUAUUCCUCAUUUGAAAAUUCUCUAGGAUGCAAGGUCCUUAUUUUAGGUCCCUUUGAAUCCUCAGCACUCUGCACGGUUCCUCACAUGGUGUAGACCCUCCUCAAAUACGAGAGUCAACGGAAGGGUUUUGUUUUCACGUUUUGCUGCCUCAUUUAACUCCAAAUCUGCUUAUUAUUGGUUUGUUCUAACCCCUUUUUGUGCCUUCAGCACAUUACUUAUUGGUAACAGAAGUUGGCAGGAAAGAACAAGGUGAUACCUAUUUUGGCCAUGAUGACUGUGUUGUCAGUGCACAGCUCUGUGGCAUGGCCUACAUCGACAUGGCUGUGCCUUUCUAUCUUCUUCCAUCUUCUCAAACCGAAGCUUAACAAUACCCCACCCCCUUUCCCUGUUCCCUGGCAACCACAAUUCUACUCUCUGUCUGAAUACGAAUACUGUAGGUACCUGAUAAAAAUGGAAUCAUGCAGUAUCUGUCCUUUUGUGACUGGCUUAUUAGACUUAGCAUGAUGCCUUCAACAUCUAUCCUUGGGCUCCUGAUGUGGCUCAAGUGGUAGCGCACUCACCUGGCAUGCGUGAGGCACUGGGUCUGAUCCUCAGCACCACAUAAAAAUACAAAAAGAUUAAAAAAAAAGAUCCAUCCAUGUCGUAGUAUUUGUCAAAGGUUCCUUCCUUUUAAGGCUGUAUAACAUUCCACUUCCACAUGUUGUGCUUUGGAUCUGAAAUGUCCCCAGAGUCUCAUGAGUUGAAGGCUUGGUCCCCGCUGCAGCAGUGUUCAGAGGUGAGGCUUUGGAAAGGUGAUGGAAGCAUGUGCUCUAACCUCCUCAGUAGAUUAGUCCAUGGAUGGAUUAAUAAUUCGGUGGCAUUACUGGAAGGUGGUGGGAACUGCAGAAGGUGUGGCCUGGCUGGAGGAAGUCAGUCACCGCUGCAGGACUUUGGGAGGGUUGCCUUUGUCUCAGCCUCCUCUUUGCUGCCUCCCUGCAUCCUGACUGCCAAGAGGUGAGCGGCUGUCCUCUGCCACACGCUUCCUCCUCUGCCUCAUCGCAGGCCGGGGAACAGUGGAGCCAGCCAACGAUGUAUUGAGACCUCUGAAAUCUUGAGCCAAAAUAAAUCUCUUCUCUAAAUUUUUCUAGUUAUUUUGCCACAGAGAUGAAAAGCUGAUUUGUUUGCCCGUUUAUCUAUUGAUGGCUACUUGGGUUGCUUCCCUUUUUGGCUGUUGUAACACUGUAUAUACACUGUUGCGUACUAUAUAUCCAUAUGUACAUGGAUAUACAGUACACCCUCGCUGUAAUCACACCUCCCCUGCAGGAUGUGCAUCAGGAGUUACUUUAAAAAUCUUCAGCAUCAUCAGAAUUAAGAACUUGUGACUUAAAGGACAGCAUCAAGAAAGCGACAAUUCAACUCAUACAUUGGAAGUAUUUGCACAUCAUAUAAGUGACUUAUAUCCAGAAUAUAUAAAGAAUGUAAUAACAACAAAGAGACAAAUAACCCAAUUUAAAAAUAGGCAAAGGAUCUGAGGAGACAUUUCUCCAAAGAAGAUAUACAAAUAGCCAAUCAAUGCAUGAAAAGAUGUUCAGUAUCAUUGGUUGUCAUGAAUAUGCAAAACAAAACCACAAUGAGAUACAACUUCAUACCCAGUAGGAUGGCUGUAAUUAAAAAGAUAGUCAAUAACAAGUGUUGAGGAGGAGAAAUUGGGAACCUCAUACAGUGCUUGUGGAAAGGUUAAAUAGUAGUCACUUUGAAAACAGUUUAUCAUUUCCUCAAAACGCUAAAUGUAAAGUUACCUAUGACUCAGUUAUGUUAUGCUCAAGAGAAAUGGAAAACGUGUUCACACAAAAACUUGUACAUAAUUAUUCACACCAACAUUAUGCAUAAUAGCCAAAAAGUGUAUAAACCAACCCAGAUUUUCUUUAAUUAAUAAAUGAAUAAGCAAAAUGUAGUAUAUUCCCAUAAGGGAAGGUUAUUUGUUAAUAAAAAGAAUUAAUUACUGAUACAUUCUGUAACAUGAGUGAACCUAAAAAGCAUGCUAAGUGAAAUAAGGCGGUCACAAAACACCACAUAUCAUGAAAUCCUAUUUAUACAAAAUGUCCAGAAUAGGCAAUAUAUAGAAACAGCAAAUUAGUGGUUACCUAGGAUUUGGGAGGUGUGGGAAAUGGGGAUGAUGAAAGUUCUAAAAUCGGGUUAUAGUGGUGGUUGUAAUAUGUUAGAUAUACUAAAAACCAUUGACUUCUAUAUUUAAAUGGGUUAACUUGAUGGUAUGUAAAUUAUUUAUCAAUAAAGCUGUUUGGGGAAACAGUGGCGCUAUUCCAGUAAGCCACAAGGUGAGAGGCUAUGUCCUGAAGCGGUCUUUUGUUUUUUUAGUCCUCCAUGAAAUAGAAUUCUGUGCUCUGUCUGUGGAGAAAAAGAAAUUAGGAAAUUUGUCAUUGAAAAUUCAGGGAAAAAAGAAAAUUAAAAUAUUUUGUUAUUCAAGUUUUUAAGAUAUGAAAUUAUUGGCAAUAACAAAUUCUGGUAAUAACAUUUUUCCAUUUUCUAAAAAUGCAACAUGUUUUUCUUUCACAAGUAAGGACUGAAUUAAUGAAAUUGAGCUUUGCAUCUGAGAACUUCAACCAACCUUAAGGAUAUUUUUUGCGUCUCUUCCUUGGCGCAUGUAUCUCUCUGGCUUUGUAGGAAACCUCUGUGCGCCGUGUCACUGUAUCUCUAGAGCUCCUGUCUGGAGUCCUCUCUCUCCUGCACAUGGCUGUCUUCUUCCUCAGUUGGUGUUUGGUCCCUGAUGCUCAACUGACCUUUGAAAACCAGUCUCUCUUCCCUCUGUCCAAUAAGUGAAUUUAGGCUCAUUAUUAGGUGUGGUUAGAGCCUAAUUGGGGACUGGGAUGUAGCUCUGUGGUAGAACAUUUUCAUGGUGUGUGCGAGGCUCUGGGUUCCAUUCCUAGUACUACUAACUAUUGCAAUAAAAAGAUUAAUUGAGAAA